AAAUACACCGUUUACGUUCAUGGCCAGGCUUGAGGAAGAGUUGCUACGCAACGUUAACGUGCUGGUAACGUUACGUAAUUACGUAGCGCAGUAACUAAUUAUUAAAAAGUCAAGACCGGAAACCUUGUUUUUUCAAACGGUGGUUUGCUUGACAGGCUGGUCCCACCAACCCGCACCGCCACAACAGCUGGGGGAGGAUUUCCGACCCAGUCACAGCGAAGAUGGUGGCAGCUUCAGGAAUGGAGAUAGUACGUUCUCUCGGAUAAAGACGGAAAAGCAGCCGCAAAACUCACGCUUUUAUGUCUGUUUUUAUAUAGCUCCUCCACAACUCCAGCAGAGACAGAGACAGAGAGAGAGAGAGAGAGUUACAUCAGGGGGGAAAAGGGAGGCAACCAGUGGCGGACGGAAGAGGACGCACCACAGCCAGAGCGCACAGUGUUGUGUUUGUUGGACACAUGCAUGCCAGCGAAAACUAGUGCUAUCCAGACCUAAGGAAUUGGUUGAGAUAAGGAGAUAGUACCGUUUGUGGGACGAUUUUUAUUUUUAUUUUUUGGGGGUGGGAUAAUCCCACCGAAGACAUAUCCAAAGAGUUUUCCUUUAUUGCUCUGGGGAUUUUCUACUUCUUUGCUCUUGGGGGAAUGCGAGGGGAGGAAAUCCAGCCUCAGCUGCAAAUAACCAGAGACUCCUAACUGGGUCUCCUCUCCAAACGCAGGAAAUACGGCCUGGGAAAAAAAAAAAAAAAAGAAAAAAGUUUGGGAGCUUUUGGAAACGAGAGGGGGGCCUAUCACUGACGUUUUGCAUGCGUUUUACGACGUGAUUUUUUUUUUUAAAUAGUAAGGUUUUUGUAAGUGCAUUGCGCGCUCCUGUUAUCCCACAGAGUAAGUUGAAGAAGAAGAAAAAAACUUGAAAUGUUAACACGCCGUUGGUGUUGUUACUGCAAGAGUUUUGAUCAUCACUAUUUAUAGACCAGCCUGUUCCGACCGAGGCUGUUCCUCAUAGCUGUAUAUUUUGCCAACUGCGCGCAACAAGUUGCAGACACUCCCAGCAGAGGCAAACCUACACUAGUUUGGGGCCAGCGGAUGGUAUUUUCUGCGCUUCUCUUUUCGGAUUACGCGUCUUUGAAUAGCGCAUACCCCCCUCCUCCUCCUCCACCUCCCCGACCCCCUCUUUGGAAGGCAGAAGGGGAAUAAACGGUGGAGAUCCGGAGAGGGAGUUCAGGAAAGGACGGGGCUGGAUCCGUGGGAAUAGGCCUGCCUGUCAGGCCUCUUAUGAUCUGGAUCUUGGACUGGACAGGGCUCCGAAAUAAACUCAAGUCUGGAAUAUUUUCAAGGGAGUAAAAAAAAAAAGAUGGAAGGAGAAUGUAUGGGAGUAAGAAAUAGAAAUCCAUAGCGCACUGAGCCAUGCAUGAGAGGGGAUGUAGAGGAAGGUAAAGCCGACUCAAUUACAGAUCACCUACUUUAUUAAUGAACAAAACUAACAGUUUGCCCACAUGUUAGUGAACUACUUUACGCCAAGCACAAAAACGCUCUUUCUUUCUAACCCUAACCCUUGAUCUGCUAAAUUAUUACUUUAAAAAACAAAAGAAAGCUAUCAUUUUUUAUAUGAGGGAAUUCAUAUUGUCAACACAUGUUUUAUUUUAGCACUAUAAAGACAGUUUCAGGGGGUGUUCUGAAGAGGGGAAAGGAAGUGUAAAUGGGCCAUUUGUCGCGCAUGUUGUGGAGAUAAGAGGGGACAGUGUAACUUUUGUAGCCACUUGCUGUGCACAACGCCAACUGUUGACAGCCUCUAUCUGCAUCUGCUCAUACAAUGAAGCCCUGGACCUGAACGCAACGUUGUUGUUGUUUUUUUUUUCGGAAUGAAGAAGAAAAAUCUGGGAAUCUUUUUUUCCUGACUUGAGUUUGUAAUGUCAGCACUAUCGAAAUAUUGCGCACAUCCAGAGGAGGCAAUUUCCAGUCAUGUAACGUCAGGACUGACUUGAUGAAGGCGUAAAAAAAAAAAAAAAAAAAAAAA
This is a long non-coding RNA of Larimichthys crocea (large yellow croaker), 2010 nucleotides long. RefSeq lists it as uncharacterized. Lineage: Eukaryota; Metazoa; Chordata; Actinopteri; Sciaenidae. The record is from RefSeq and is a predicted model, not a curated record. The transcript is spliced from 2 exons.